GACGAACGCUGGCGGCGUGCCUAAUACAUGCAAGUCGAACGCACAGUUUAUACCGUAGCUUGCUACACCAUAGACUGUGAGUUGCGAACGGGUGAGUAACGCGUAGGUAACCUGCCUGGUAGCGGGGGAUAACUAUUGGAAACGAUAGCUAAUACCGCAUAAUAUUGAUUAUUGCAUGAUAAUUGAUUGAAAGAUGCUAUUGCAUCACUACCAGAUGGACCUGCGUUGUAUUAGCUAGUAGGUGAGGUAACGGCUCACCCAGGCGACGAUACAUAGCCGACCUGAGAGGGUGAGCGGCCACACAGGGAAUGAGACACGGCCCAGACUCCUACAGGAGGCAGCAGUAGGGAAUCUUCGGCAAUGGACGAAAGUCUGACCGAGCAACGCCGCGUGAGUGAAGAAGGUUUUCGGAUCGUAAAGCUCUGUUGUAAGAGAAGAACGGGUGUGAGAGUGGAAAGAUCACCCUGUGACGGUAUCUUACCAGAAAGGGACGGCUAACUACGUG
Molecule: ribosomal RNA, 505 nt
Filed under: uncultured bacterium
Lineage: Bacteria
Description: partial 16S ribosomal RNA
Rfam family: Bacterial small subunit ribosomal RNA
Source: RNAcentral